RNAcentral lists this ribosomal RNA (505 nucleotides) under Eucephalobus striatus. RNAcentral's name for it is "SSU rRNA". It matches the Rfam family "Eukaryotic small subunit ribosomal RNA", at positions 88 to 590 of the family's 1831-position model. The record is from RNAcentral. Lineage: Eukaryota; Metazoa; Nematoda; Chromadorea; Rhabditida; Cephalobidae.
CGCGAAUGGCUCAUUACAACAGCUAAAAUCUACUUGAUCUUGACACAAUCCUACUUGGAUAACUGUGGUAAUUCUAGAGCUAAUACAUGCAUUAAAGCUCUGACCUUAGGGGAAGAGUGCAUUUAUUAGAACAAAACCAAGCGGCUUCGGCUGUUUUCGGUUGACUCAUAGUAACUGAGCUGAUCGCAUGGUCUUGCGCCGGCGACGUGUCUUUCGAGUAUCUGCCGUAUCAACUUUCGAUGGUAGUGUAUCUGACUACCAUGGUGAUCACGCGUAACGGAGAAUAAGGGUUCGACUCCGGAGAGUUCGCCUGAGAAAUCGCGAACACAUCUAAGGAAGGCGGCAGGCGCGAAAAUUACCCACUCUCAGCACGAGGAGGUAGUGACGAAAAAUAACGAGACCGUUCUCUUAUGAGGCCGGUCAUCGGAAUGGGUACAAUUUAAACCCUUUAACGAGUAUCUAUGAGAGGGCAAGUCUGGUGCCAGCAGCCGCGGUAAUUCCAGCU